Molecule: long non-coding RNA, 222 nt
Filed under: Ictidomys tridecemlineatus (thirteen-lined ground squirrel)
Lineage: Eukaryota; Metazoa; Chordata; Mammalia; Rodentia; Sciuridae
Description: lncRNA (ENSSTOG00000031173.1)
Source: RNAcentral
AGCUCAUCUCAGAGGGAUGAUCUCCAUCUCAGCGAGGGGUCAUCUGCUCCAUAAUUUAAAGAGGGCAUCUGCAGGGAGGACAGAGCUGCCUGGACAAGGGGAGCACUUGCCCCGAAGCCAAGCCAAAGGGAGAUGGAUUUCUAUUUCAAGACUUAAAGAAGGCUGUCAGUCACCAGAGGAAAGGGCUUCCUCAACACAUAGGCUGGCCAAGGUAUAGCUCCA